RNAcentral lists this ribosomal RNA (515 nucleotides) under Parnassius sacerdos. Its description in RNAcentral is "partial 16S ribosomal RNA". The stretch from base 388 to 515 matches the Rfam family "Bacterial large subunit ribosomal RNA", at positions 2473 to 2600 of the family's 2925-position model. Lineage: Eukaryota; Metazoa; Arthropoda; Insecta; Lepidoptera; Papilionidae. The record is from RNAcentral.
GUCUUUUUGAUUAAUAAUUUAAAGUCUAAUCUGCCCACUGAUAAUAAAUUAAAGGGCUGCAGUAUUUUGACUGUACAAAGGUAGCAUAAUCAUUAGUCUCUUAAUUGGUGACUUGUAUGAAGGAUUUGAUGAAAUAUAUUCUGUCUCUAUUUAAUUUAUAAAAUUUAAUUUUUUAGUUAAAAAGCUAAAAUUUGUUUAAAAGACGAGAAGACCCUAUAGAGUUUUAUAUUUAUAUAAAUUAAAAUUUUAUAUAAGAUUUAAAAUUUUAAUUUAUAUAAAUAUUUUAUUGGGGAGAUAGAAAAAUUAAAAUAACUUUUUUUAUAAUUUUACAUUAAUAAAUGAAUAAAUGAUCCGUAAUUUACGAUUAUAAGAUAAAAUUACCUUAGGGAUAACAGCGUAAUUUUUUUUUUUAGUUCAAAUAAGAAAAAGAGUUUGCGACCUCGAUGUUGGAUUAAGAUAAAAUUUAAAUGCAAAAGUUUAAAAUUUUUGAUCUGUUCGAUCAUUAAAAUCUUACA